UGGUGGCGAGUGGCGAACGGGUGAGUAAUACAUCGGAACCGUACCCUGAAGGUGGGGGAUAACGUAGCGAAAGUUACGCUAAUACCGCAUAUUCUGUGAGCAGGAAAGAGGGGGAUCGCAAGACCUCUUGCUUUAGGAGCGGCCGAUGUCGGAUUAGCUAGUUGGUGAGGUAAAGGCUCACCAAGGCGACGAUCCGUAGCGGGUCUGAGAGGAUGAUCCGCCACACUGGGACUGAGACACGGCCCAGACUCCUACGGGAGGCAGCAGUGGGGAAUUUUGGACAAUGGGCGCAAGCCUGAUCCAGCCAUGCCGCGUGAGUGAAGAAGGCCUUCGGGUUGUAAAGCUCUUUCGGUGGGAAGAAAUUGCUUCGGUUAAUACCUGGAGUAGAUGACGGUACCCGCAUAAGAAGCACCGGCUAACUACGUG
Molecule: ribosomal RNA, 426 nt
Filed under: uncultured bacterium
Lineage: Bacteria
Description: bacterial SSU rRNA
Rfam family: Bacterial small subunit ribosomal RNA
Source: RNAcentral